Molecule: small RNA, 79 nt
Filed under: Gramella sp. Hel_I_59
Lineage: Bacteria; Pseudomonadati; Bacteroidota; Flavobacteriia; Flavobacteriales; Flavobacteriaceae
Description: Flavo-1 RNA
Source: RNAcentral
AAUUUGCGUUAGGGAUUGUAGCGAAUAGCCCACAGCGACUGCAAGGAGCGAGGACUAGUAGCGUAAAGCCCGGCACGAA